This 707-nucleotide unclassified non-coding RNA is filed under the name Hevea brasiliensis (rubber tree). The record is from RNAcentral. Lineage: Eukaryota; Viridiplantae; Streptophyta; Magnoliopsida; Malpighiales; Euphorbiaceae.
UAAAACUGAACCAUAAUCCUAAGCCUCUUAAAGUGAAUUUUCUGAAAUUCCCUGAUUGCAUCACAUAACCUAGUUAAUAAACUUUUGGGCAGCUCUCCUUUUAUGGCUUCCUUAUUGAGUCAAGGGGAUCAGAACUUUAUAAAGUUAAGCACAUUCUUUUCCUCCCAAGAAUGCUUUUCAAGGACAAAAUUGUAAAAUCAAAGAGCCAAAGAGGACAAUAUUUUAAAGUAUGCAUAUGAUUGUAAGUUCGAUUUGUAUUGAUUUGUGAUCUUAUUAUCUGAACUUUUAGACGCAAAUAGUAUAAAUAGGAAUUGUUGUCCCACAUUAAUUUGGGAUAAGGUGUUUAUACUGCAUAUGAGAUUUGAAUAAACCUUCUUCUAUUGAGUUAAUUUUUGGAGUGGAGUUUCUCUACAUACUAUUAGAGUUUGCUCUACUUCAAUAUUAUGUUACCUGCAGAUGUGUUUGCUCGCAAGCUUCACGCUCUAGAUGUUUAUACUUGUAUGUGAGGGGGGUAUCUCACAUUGAUAUGGAAUAAGGUGUUUGUGCAAUAUAUAAUAUUUGGACAAAUCUCUUUUCCUUAAGCCAUAGUUAUCAAAGACUCAAGGCGCACCAAGGCGCCAAUGUGUCCUAGAGCCUAGGCGCAAGGAGCAGGUGUGCGCCUGAGCCAGGCAAGGUGCAAAAAUUAAAAAAUAUAUAUAUUAAAAAAA